RNAcentral lists this unclassified non-coding RNA (200 nucleotides) under soil metagenome. Its description in RNAcentral is "partial contains internal transcribed spacer 2 and large subunit ribosomal RNA". The record is from RNAcentral.
CUCACCGGCCGGGUCCGCCGAAGCACAGAGGCUCGAGCAGGACCCCGUUUACAUGGGCAACAGUCUGGUAGGCGACCCUUCCAGGUCGCAUGCCUCUGGUGCCUGGGGAGCCUGCUUACAGAGAGCCCGCAGGAAGUGGCUGCUUGCCACGCCUUCACCCAUUCGACCUGAGUUCAGGCAAGAGCACCCGCUGAACUUAA